RNAcentral lists this ribosomal RNA (124 nucleotides) under Chitinophaga skermanii. RNAcentral describes it as "partial 16S ribosomal RNA". It matches the Rfam family "Bacterial small subunit ribosomal RNA", at positions 19 to 137 of the family's 1533-position model. The record is from RNAcentral. Lineage: Bacteria; Pseudomonadati; Bacteroidota; Chitinophagia; Chitinophagales; Chitinophagaceae.
CUGGCUCAGGAUGAACGCUAGCGGCAGGCCUAAUACAUGCAAGUCGAGGGGCAGCGCAGUGUAGCAAUACAUGGGCGGCGACCGGCAAACGGGUGCGGAACACGUACGCAACCUUCCUUCAAGA